UGUAAUGCUUUCUGACCAAGGUGUCACCAU
Molecule: non-coding RNA, 30 nt
Filed under: Mus musculus (house mouse)
Lineage: Eukaryota; Metazoa; Chordata; Mammalia; Rodentia; Muridae
Source: RNAcentral